GUCUCAGUUCGGAUUGGAGUCUGNAACCCGACUCCAUGAAGCUGGAUUCGCUAGUAAUCGCGCAUCAGCCACGGCGCGGUGAAUACGUUCCCGGGCCUUGUACACACCGCCCGUCAAGCCAUGGAAGCCGGGGGUGCCUGAAGUGCGCUGCCGCAAGGAGCGCCCUAGGGUAAAACCGGUGACUGGGGCUAAGUCGUAACAAGGUAGC
This 208-nucleotide ribosomal RNA is filed under the name uncultured bacterium. RNAcentral's name for it is "partial 16S ribosomal RNA". It matches the Rfam family "Bacterial small subunit ribosomal RNA", at positions 1285 to 1500 of the family's 1533-position model. The record is from RNAcentral.